Long non-coding RNA from Brassica napus (rape), 771 nucleotides. RefSeq lists it as uncharacterized. NCBI's taxonomy places the organism in Eukaryota, Viridiplantae, Streptophyta, Magnoliopsida, Brassicales, Brassicaceae. The transcript has 2 exons. The record is from RefSeq and is a predicted model, not a curated record.
GUUACAGUCGAAGACGAAGGAGGGUUCUCUUCACUUCCGUGUCCGGCGAGCUUUCCUCUGUGACAGAUUCCUUCCGUUUCGUCACCUCCACCUCAACUCGCCUUCGUCUGUCAUACAAAAAGAACCCUAAAUCCGAUUUCACUUUUGUCAAAAUCCACCUUUCAAUCUAAGAAAAUUGAACAUGGAUGUUUCAGACAAACCAAUGCUUCGAAGGGAGAUUGUGGUAGGUGAUAACAGUGUAACAGUAGGUUACUUCAACAAUCAAGCAAAAACCGAUGAGGUUUACAAGGUAGUUAAGCAGAGGCAGCUUCGUUUCAAGUAAUUACGUUGACAACAUUAUGGUACACACAGACCCAAUGAACAGCUGCUGUGUAGCUCUUGUUGUAGCAUCAUACGGAGCAUUAGAGAAAUGGGGCAGAGCAAGCAGGAGUUAAAUACAGCGACUUCUCUGAGCUAUGCGAGAAUGGUGAUGCAGUAAACGAGGUUCAACAAUCUCUUACCAAGGCGGCAAAGCUAGAAAAGUUUGAAAUUCCAGGAAAGAUAAAGUUAUUGCCGGAGCCGUGGACAUCAGAGUCGGGACUAGCCACAGCUGCUCUCAAGAUAAAGAGGGAGAAAAUAAAGGCCAAGUUCAAAGAUGAACUCCACAAGCUGUAAAAAGUCAUAUAUUACUUAUGAGUUGUGACAAACUUCAUAUACUUAGGGUUUUGACUUUACUUUUACUAAUAAAGUUUGAUCAAGAUGGGGUUGUUUUCUCCCCUUUUAAUACAAUAA